AUUGAACGCUGGCGGCAUGCUUUACACAUGCAAGUCGAACGGCAGCACGGGCUUCGGCCUGGUGGCGAGUAGCGAACGGGUGAGUAAUAUAUCGGAACGUACCCAGAAGUGGGGGAUAACGUAGCGAAAGUUACGCUAAUACCGCAUACGAUCUAUGGAUGAAAGCAGGGGACCGCAAGGCCUUGUGCUCCUGGAGCGGCCGAUAUCUGAUUAGCUAGUUGGUGAGGUAAAGGCUCACCAAGGCGACGAUCAGUAGCUGGUCUGAGAGGACGACCAGCCACACUGGAACUGAGACACGGUCCAGACUCCUACGGGAGGCAGCAGUGGGGAAUUUUGGACAAUGGGCGCAAGCCUGAUCCAGCAAUGCCGCGUGAGUGAAGAAGGCCUUCGGGUUGUAAAGCUCUUUUGUCAGGGAAGAAACGGUAGAGGCUAAUAUCCUUUGCUAAUGACGGUACCUGAAGAAUAAGCACCGGCUAACUACGUG
RNAcentral lists this ribosomal RNA (484 nucleotides) under uncultured bacterium. RNAcentral describes it as "partial 16S ribosomal RNA". It matches the Rfam family "Bacterial small subunit ribosomal RNA", at positions 30 to 507 of the family's 1533-position model. The record is from RNAcentral.